Molecule: ribosomal RNA, 482 nt
Filed under: uncultured bacterium
Lineage: Bacteria
Description: partial 16S ribosomal RNA
Rfam family: Bacterial small subunit ribosomal RNA
Source: RNAcentral
AUUGAACGCUGGCGGCAUGCUUUACACAUGCAAGUCGAACGGUAACAGGCCGCAAGGUGCUGACGAGUGGCGAACGGGCGAGUAAUGCACCGGAACGUGCCCAGUCGUGGGGGAUAAGUUAUCGAAAGAGUAGCUAAUACAGCAUCCGAUCUAUGGAUGAAAGGCGGGGACCGUAAGGGAAAGUGUGAUUGGUGCGGGCGAUGUUCGAUUAGGUAGUUGGUGGGGUUGAGGUUCACCAAGGCAACGAGCUGUAGCUGGUCUGAGAGGACGAGCAGCCACACGGGGACUGAGACACGGCCCAGACUCCUACGGGAGGCAGCAGUGGGGAAUGGUAGACAUGGGGCGCAAGCCAGAUCCAGCAAUGCCGCGUGCAGGAAGAAGGCCUUCGGGUUGUAAACUGCUUUUGUACGGAACGAAACGGCUCUGGUUAAUACCCGGGGCUAAUGACGGUACCGUAAGAAUAAGCACCGGCUAACUACGUG